RNAcentral lists this ribosomal RNA (250 nucleotides) under uncultured bacterium. RNAcentral's name for it is "partial 16S ribosomal RNA". It matches the Rfam family "Bacterial small subunit ribosomal RNA", at positions 524 to 772 of the family's 1533-position model. The record is from RNAcentral.
UACGUAGGGAGCAAGCGUUGUCCGGAUUUACUGGGCGUAAAGGGCGCGUAGGCGGUCUGUUAAGCGUGAAGUGAAAUCUCCAGGGCUCAACCCGGAAACUGCUUUGCGAACUGGCAGACUAGAGGAAGGCAGAGGUAAAUGGAAUUCCUGGUGUAGCGGUGACAUGCAUUGAUAUCAGGAGGAACACCCGUGGCGAAGGCGGUUUACUGGGCCUUAUCUGACGCUGAGGCGCGAAAGCGUGGGUAGCAAA